Molecule: ribosomal RNA, 411 nt
Filed under: Bacteroidota bacterium
Lineage: Bacteria; Pseudomonadati; Bacteroidota
Description: Bacteroidetes bacterium partial 16S ribosomal RNA
Rfam family: Bacterial small subunit ribosomal RNA
Source: RNAcentral
UGGGGAAAAUUGCGCAAUGGGGGAAACCCUGACGCAGCGACGCCGCGUGCGGGAUGAAGGCCUUCGGGUUGUAAACCGCUUUUGAUUGGGAGCAAGCUUUCGGGUGAGUGUACCUUUCGAAUAAGCGCCGGCUAACUACGUGCCAGCAGCCGCGGUAAUACGUAGGGCGCAAGCGUUAUCCGGAAUUAUUGGGCGUAAAGAGCUUGUAGGCGGUUCGUCGCGUCUGGUGUGAAAGCCCAUCGCUUAACGGGGGGUUGGCGCCGGGUACGGGCGAGCUAGAGUGCAGUAGGGGAGACUGGAAGUCUCGGUGUAACGGUGGAAUGUGUAGAUAUCGGGAAGAACACCAAUGGCGAAGGCAGGUCUCUGGGCUGUUACUGACGCUGAGAAGCGAAAGCGUGGGGAGCGAACAGG